This 264-nucleotide ribosomal RNA is filed under the name uncultured archaeon. RNAcentral's name for it is "partial 16S ribosomal RNA". It matches the Rfam family "Archaeal small subunit ribosomal RNA", at positions 716 to 982 of the family's 1478-position model. The record is from RNAcentral.
ACAGUCACACAUUAGAUACCCCUGUAGUCCCAGCCCUAAACGAUGCGCGUUAGGUGUAUCGGUGACCACGAGUCACCGAGGUGCCGAAGGGAAACCGUGAAACGUGCCGCCUGGGAAGUACGGUCGCAAGGCUGAAACUUAAAGGAAUUGGCGGGGAGCACCACAACGGGUGGAGCCUGCGGUUUAAUUGGACUCAACGCCGGGAAGCUCACCGGAUAAGACAGCGGAAUGAUUGCCGGGCUGAAGACCCUGCAUGACCAGCUG